UACGUAGGGUGCAAGCGUUAAUCGGAAUUACUGGGCGUAAAGCGUGCGCAGGCGGUUUUGUAAGUCUGUCGUGAAAUCCCCGGGCUCAACCUGGGAAUUGCGAUGGAGACUGCAAGGCUGGAAUCUGGCAGAGGGGGGUAGAAUUCCACGUGUAGCAGUGAAAUGCGUAGAGAUGUGGAGGAACACCGAUGGCGAAGGCAGCCCCCUGGGUCAAGAUUGACGCUCAUGCACGAAAGCGUGGGGAGCAAACAGG
RNAcentral lists this ribosomal RNA (253 nucleotides) under uncultured bacterium. Its description in RNAcentral is "partial 16S ribosomal RNA". It matches the Rfam family "Bacterial small subunit ribosomal RNA", at positions 524 to 776 of the family's 1533-position model. The record is from RNAcentral.